Molecule: ribosomal RNA, 868 nt
Filed under: uncultured organism
Description: bacterial SSU rRNA
Rfam family: Bacterial small subunit ribosomal RNA
Source: RNAcentral
CAGAACGAACGCUGGCGGCGCGUUUAAGCAUGCAAGUCGAGGGGUAGAGAAUCUUCGGAUUCUUGAGACCGGCGAACGGGUGAGUAACACGUAGGUGAUCUGCCACGAGGUUGGGGAUAGCCCAUGGAAACAUGGGGUAAUACCGAAUGAGCUCUUUUUACUAUGGUGAGAAGAGGAAAAGCGCUUCGGCGCUGCCUUGUGAUGAGCCUGCGGCUGAUUAGCUUGUUGGUGGGGUAACGGCCUACCAAGGCAACGAUCAGUAGCCGGCCUGAGAGGGUGAUCGGCCACACUGGGACUGAGAUACGGCCCAGACUCCUACGGGAGGCAGCAGCUAAGAAUCUUCCGCAAUGGACGAAAGUCUGACGGAGCGACGCCGCGUGGGUGAAGAAGGCCGAGAGGUUGUAAAGCCCUUUUCUGUCUGAGGAAUAAGCUUGGGAGGGAAUGCCCGAGUGAUGACGGUAGGACAGGAAUAAGCCCCGGCUAAUUACGUGCCAGCAGCCGCGGUAACACGUAUGGGGCGAGCGUUGUUCGGAAUUAUUGGGCGUAAAGGGCGCGUAGGCGGAUAUACAAGUCUGGUGUGAAAGACCGCAGCUUAACUGCGGGAGCGCGCUGGAAACUGUAUGUCUUGAAUCCUUGAGGGGAAACUGGAAUUCCUGGUGUAGGGGUGAAAUCUGUAGAUAUCAGGAAGAACAUCGGUGGCGAAGGCGAGUUUCUGGCAAGUGAUUGACGCUGAGGCGCGAAAGCGUGGGGAGCAAACAGGAUUAGAUACCCUGGUAGUCCACGCUGUAGACGAUGUGCACUAGGCGUAGGGGUGUCGAAACCUCAGUGCCGGAGCUAACGUGGUAAGGUGCACGACUGGGGAGUAUGC